AUACGGAGGUUGCAAGCGUUAUUCGGAAUCACUGGGCGUAAAGGACGCGUAGGCGGGUUGGCAAGUCAGAUGUGAAAUCCUACAGCUUAACUGUAGAACUGCAUUUGAAACUGCUAACCUAGAGUAUGGGAGGGGGAGAUGGAAUUAGUGGUGUAGGGGUAAAAUCCGUAGAUAUCACUAGGAAUACCGAAAGCGAAGGCGAUCUCCUGGAACAUAGCUGACGCUAAGGCGUGAAAGCGUGGGGAGCAAACAGGAUUAGAAACCCCUGUAGUCC
Molecule: ribosomal RNA, 274 nt
Filed under: uncultured bacterium
Lineage: Bacteria
Description: partial 16S ribosomal RNA
Rfam family: Bacterial small subunit ribosomal RNA
Source: RNAcentral